Molecule: ribosomal RNA, 471 nt
Filed under: Streptococcus parasanguinis
Lineage: Bacteria; Bacillati; Bacillota; Bacilli; Lactobacillales; Streptococcaceae
Description: bacterial SSU rRNA
Rfam family: Bacterial small subunit ribosomal RNA
Source: RNAcentral
GAUGAACGCUGGCGGCGUGCCUAAUACAUGCAAGUAGAACGCUGAAGCUUGGUGCUUGCACCGAGCGGAUGAGUUGCGAACGGGUGAGUAACGCGUAGGUAACCUACCUCUUAGCGGGGGAUAACUAUUGGAAACGAUAGCUAAUACCGCAUAAAAGUCGACAUUGCAUGAUGUUGACUUGAAAGGUGCAACUGCAUCACUAAGAGAUGGACCUGCGUUGUAUUAGCUAGUUGGUGAGGUAACGGCUCACCAAGGCGACGAUACAUAGCCGACCUGAGAGGGUGAUCGGCCACACUGGGACUGAGACACGGCCCAGACUCCUACGGGAGGCAGCAGUAGGGAAUCUUCGGCAAUGGACGGAAGUCUGACCGAGCAACGCCGCGUGAGUGAAGAAGGUUUUCGGAUCGUAAAGCUCUGUUGUAAGAGAAGAACGAGUGUGAGAGUGGAAAGUUCACACUGUGACGGUGACUU